RNAcentral lists this ribosomal RNA (445 nucleotides) under uncultured bacterium. Its description in RNAcentral is "partial 16S ribosomal RNA". It matches the Rfam family "Bacterial small subunit ribosomal RNA", at positions 354 to 796 of the family's 1533-position model. The record is from RNAcentral.
GUGAGGAAUAUUGGUCAAUGGACGAGAGUCUGAACCAGCCAAGUCGCGUGAAGGAAGACGGUUCUAUGAAUUGUAAACUUCUUUUGUGCAGGAAUAAAGUGGGUUACGUGUAACCUUUUGUAUGUACUGUACGAAUAAGGAUCGGCUAACUCCGUGCCAGCAGCCGCGGUAAUACGGAGGAUCCGAGCGUUAUCCGGAUUUAUUGGGUUUAAAGGGUGCGUAGGUGGAUUGAUAAGUCAGCGGUGAAAGUUUGCAGCUUAACGGUAAAAUUGGCGUUGAAACUGUCGGUCUUGAGUGCAAAUGAAGUAGGCGGAAUGUGUUGUGUAGCGGUGAAAUGCUUAGAUAUAACACAGAACUCCGAUUGCGAAGGCAGCUUACUGGGAUGCAACUGACACUGAUGCACGAAAGCGUGGGUAUCAAACAGGAUUAGAAACCCCAGUAGUCC